UGGGGAAGGCAGCGGGGCCGGGAUGCUCAGGUUUAACGUUUCUCGUGCGAAAAUAGCUGCUGUGCCAGGUGCAAGCGUGUCCGCAGGCUUCGGUUUCACGCUUGCACGGUGCCCCCGAACAAACCCGCUGCAGCGCGAACCGAAGCACGAGAGCCGAAGAAGUAACUGUUGGAAGGCUGUGCAGAAGUCUGCUUCCCUCCGCCGAGAGCUCCUCGGCCUGCAGCUCACACCGCCAGCGGCCCCUCGGCCUCUCGGUGCUGCGGGAGGGAGAGCAGCGCAGUGUAUCUGCUCUGCGCAUUGCAUUCGUCCGACACAGUGAAUUCAAAGGUCUGCAUUUCUUCUGAAUCAACUUUCCAGAUAAGAAGGCCAGCGGGAGAGAGCCUGGCAUCCUGUGGCCCAGCCUCUAAGAUGAAUAGUACAGCUGACCCUUCCGGAUCCACCGCUGUUAACUGGUUUGUCAUAUCAGCAAUCAGUGCCUGGGACUGCAGUGAGAGCAAGAGCAAGCGCUGGCAGAGGGUGGCAAAGGCGUUUUGUGAGUACUUUAACUCCCUGCUUGUGAGAAAUGGACUGCUUCAAUUUCACACUGAAAGCAUCCAUGUGCUGCUACAAUAUGGUAGAUUAUUUUUGCUUUAGAAAGCUCACUGUGACAUUUUAUGUCUAUUUGAUCUCUUCUAUUUUUAAAAGGCUCGCUAGCAAUUUACUUCAGCAAUAGAAUGGGAAGAAAAGCGUGCUGUUAACUAUAGAAUAUUGCCUCUUUUCUAAAUGGCCCUG
Molecule: long non-coding RNA, 771 nt
Filed under: Gallus gallus (chicken)
Lineage: Eukaryota; Metazoa; Chordata; Aves; Galliformes; Phasianidae
Source: RNAcentral